GACGAACGCUGGCGGUGUGCUUAACACAUGCAAGUCGAACGGUAAGGCCCUUUCGGGGGUACACGAGUGGCGAACGGGUGAGUAACACGUGAGUAACCUGCCCUCAUCUCUGGGAUAACAGUCGGAAACGGUUGCUAAUACUGGAUAUGAGCUUGCAAGGCAUCUUGUGGGUUGGAAAGAUUUUUUUGGUUGGGGAUGGACUCGCGGCCUAUCAGCUCGUUGGUGAGGUAGUGGCUCACCAAGGCUUCGACGGGUAGCCGGCCUGAGAGGGCGACCGGCCACAUUGGGACUGAGAUACGGCCCAAACUCCUACGGGAGGCAGCAGUGGGGAAUAUUGCACAAUGGACGGAAGUCUGAUGCAGCAACGCCGCGUGCGGGAUGACGGCCUUCGGGUUGUAAACCGCUUUCAAUUGUGACGAAGCUUUUUGUGACGGUAGCAGUAGAAGAAGCACCGGCUAACUACGU
Molecule: ribosomal RNA, 465 nt
Filed under: uncultured bacterium
Lineage: Bacteria
Description: partial 16S ribosomal RNA
Rfam family: Bacterial small subunit ribosomal RNA
Source: RNAcentral